CCUUUGGAGCGCCAAACAAACACCAGUAGAGUUAAUCGAAAGUGGGUACGAUGAACAAGGAA
Molecule: small RNA, 62 nt
Filed under: Tepidanaerobacter syntrophicus
Lineage: Bacteria; Bacillati; Bacillota; Clostridia; Thermosediminibacterales; Tepidanaerobacteraceae
Description: RAGATH-18 RNA
Rfam family: RAGATH-18 RNA
About the family: Actinobacteria, Firmicutes, Fusobacteria, Thermotogae (1 example).
Source: Rfam by way of RNAcentral